Molecule: ribosomal RNA, 336 nt
Filed under: uncultured bacterium
Lineage: Bacteria
Description: bacterial SSU rRNA
Rfam family: Bacterial small subunit ribosomal RNA
Source: RNAcentral
AGGGUUUGAUUAUGGCUCAGGACGAACGCUGGCGGCGUGCCUAAUACAUGCAAGUUGAGCGCUGAAGGUUGGUACUUGUACCAACUGGAUGAGCAGCGAACGGGUGAGUAACGCGUGGGGAAUCUGCCUUUGAGCGGGGGACAACAUUUGGAAACGAAUGCUAAUACCGCAUAAAAACUUUAAACACAAGUUUUAAGUUUGAAAGAUGCAAUUGCAUCACUCAAAGAUGAUCCCGCGUUGUAUUAGCUAGUUGGUGAGGUAAAGGCUCACCAAGGCGAUGAUACAUAGCCGACCUGAGAGGGUGAUCGGCCACAUUGGGACUGAGACACGGCCCAA